UUAAGCUACUAAGAGCGUAGGGAGAAUGCCUAGGUACCAAGAGCCGAAGAAAGACGUGAUAAGCUGCGAAAAGCCAUGAGGAGAAGCAAAUAUUCUGAGAAUCAUGGAUAUCUGAAUGAGGAAACUCAACUAGCAAGAACAGGCUAGUUAUCUAUACAUGAGUAAAGUAAUGUAUAGAGGGGAACGUGGGGAACUGAAACAUCUAAGUACCCACAGGAAAAGAAAGAAAACUCGAUUCCUAGAGUAGUGGCGAGCGAAAUAGGAAGAGCCCAAACCAGAAGAAGAAAUUCAUCUGGGGUUCGGACUACAUAAUUGAUUCAAUGAGUUUAGUAGAAUUGUUUGGGAAAGCAAACCAGAGACGGUGAAAGUCCAGUAUACGAAAAGCGAAUUGACAAGGUAGUAUCCAGAGUAGUGCGAGGCACGUGAAACCUCGUAUGAAAGAGCGGGGACCACCCCGUAAGGCUAAAUACUAAUUGGUAACCGAUAGUGAAGAAGUACCGUGAGGGAAAGUUGAAAAGAACCCCGGGAGGGGAGUGAAAUAGAACCUGAAACCCUAUGUUUACAAGCAGACAGAGCACGUUAAGGUGCGAUGUCGUACUUUUUGUAGAACGGUCCGGCGAGUUAUUUUAUAUGGCAAGGUUAAGUACUGAAGGUACGGAGCCGAAGAGAAAUCGAGUCUGAAGAGGGCGAAAAAGUCAUAUGAAAUAGACCCGAAACCGAGUGACCUAUCCAUGGUCAGGAUGAAGCUUGAGUAAAAUCAAGUGGAGGUCCGAACUGAUAAGCGUUAAAAAGCUUCCGGAUGAACUGUGGAUAGCGGAGAAAUUCCAAUCGAACUCGGAGAUAGCUGGUUCUCCUCGAAAUAGCUUUAGGGCUAGCCUUGUUAAGUAGCAGUUGGAGGUAAAGCACUGAAUGUGUGAGGGAUCCUACCAGAUUACCGAGCACUAUCAAACUAAGAAUGCCAAUUGUGUAAAAACAGGAGUCAGACAGUGACAGACAAGUGCCAUUGUCAAAAGGGAAAGAGCCCAGACCAACAGCUAAGGUCCCAAAAUUAUAGUUAAGUGGAAAAGGAUGUUAGAACUCAUAGACAACUAGGAUGUUGGCUCAGAAGCAGCCAUACAUUUAAAGAGUGCGUAACAGCUCACUAGUCGAUGUGGUCUAGCGCCGAAAAUUACCGGGGCUAAACUAUAUACCGAAGCUUUGGAUUGCAUAUCAAAGGAUGUGUAGUGGUAGAGGAGCGUUGUAUACAGGAUGAAGCUAUACUGAGAAGAGUAGUGGACGGUAUACAAGUGAGAAUGCCGGAAUAAGUAGCGAGAGGAUGGUGAGAAUCCAUCCCACCGAAAACCUAAGGUUUCCUGAGGAAGGUUCGUCCGCUCAGGGUAAGUCGGGGCCUAAGGCGAGGCUGAAAAGCGUAGUCGAUGGGAAGCAGGUAAAAGAUUCCUGCACUACCGAAAUGUAUUGAAUAUAUGGGGACGCAUUAGUAGAGACUAAGCGUGCAAAUGGAAAAGUGCGUACCGCAAGGUGGAGUGAAAAAUAGUAGUGAAGUAGUUAAAGCUAGUGACAAGAAAAGCCAUAUAGGAGCAUAGAGGUACUCGUACCGCAAACCGACACAGGUAGGUGGAAAGAGAAUUUUCAGGUGAGCGAGAUAAAUGUUGUUAAGGAACUCGGCAAAUUAACCCCGUAACUUAGGGAGAAGGGGAGCCUAUAGAGAUAUAGGUCGCAGUGAAAAGGCCCAAGCAACUGUUUAACAAAAACACAGGUUUCUGCAAAAUCGAAAGAUGAAGUAUAGGAGCUGACGCCUGCCCAGUGCUGGAAGGUCAAGGGGAAGGCUAAGGAGCAAUCCGAAGGUCUGAACUUAAGCCCCAGUGAACGGCGGCCGUAACUAUAACGGUCCUAAGGUAGCGAAAUUCCUUGUCAGGUAAGUUCUGACCCGCACGAAAGGCGUAAUGAUUUGGGCACUGUCUCAACAACAGUCUCGGCGAAAUUGUAGUACUAGUGAAGAUGCUAGUUACCUGUGAUAAGACAGAAAGACCCCAUGGAGCUUUACUGUAGCUUGAUAUUGAGACUAGGUAGAGGAUGUACAGAAUAGGUGGGAGACUAAGAAGCAUGGACGCCAGUCUAUGUGGAGUCACCUUUGGGAUACCACUCUUCUUCUACUUGGAAUCUAACUAAUUGCCGUAAACCGGUAAUAGGACAGUGUCAGGUGGGCAGUUUGACUGGGGCGGUCGCCUCCUAAACAGUAACGGAGGCGUUCAAAGGUUAGCUGAGCACGGUCAGAAAUCGUGUAUACAAGUGCAAAGGCAGAAGCUAGCCUGACUGCGAGACUGACAGGUCGAGCAGAUGCGAAAGCAGGACUUAGUGACCCGAUGGUAGUGAGUGGAAAUGCCAGAGCUCAACGGAUAAAAGUUACCCUGGGGAUAACAGGCUUAUCUCCCCCGAGAGUCCAUAUCGACGGGGAGGUUUGGCACCUCGAUGUCGGCUCAUCGCAUCCUGGAGCGGUAGUACGUUCCAAGGGUUGGGCUGUUCGCCCAUUAAAGCGGUACGCGAGCUGGGUUCAGAACGUCGUGAGACAGUUCGGUCCUUAUCUGUCGCAGGCGGAGGAUAUUUGAAGGGAGUUGACCUUAGUACGAGAGGACCAGGUUGAAGGAACCGAUGGUGCACCAGUUGUACUACCAAGUGCAUAGCUGGAUAGCUAAGUUCCGAAGGGAUAAACGCUGAAAGCAUCUAAGUGUGAAGCCCACCCUAAGAUAAGAUAUCCCAUACCGUAAGGUAGUAAGAUUCCAUUAAGACUAAAUGGUUGAUAGGUUGGAGGUGUAAGUAUAGUGAUAUAUUGAGCUGACCAAUACUAAUAAAUCGAGGGCUUAACUAU
Molecule: ribosomal RNA, 2866 nt
Filed under: metagenome
Description: bacterial LSU rRNA
Rfam family: Bacterial large subunit ribosomal RNA
Source: RNAcentral